Molecule: long non-coding RNA, 426 nt
Organism: Saccostrea echinata
Lineage: Eukaryota; Metazoa; Mollusca; Bivalvia; Ostreida; Ostreidae
Exons: 2
Source: RefSeq, a predicted model, not a curated record
UUUUCGCUCUAAUCGUGUUUGGAAUCUGUGCCAGUUUGCAAGGUUCAACUUUACGAGACAGUUCCGCAGUUGAAAAUUCCAAGAGCGAUUUUAAAAGAGCUGGGGGUGUAAAGUUGACAAAAUAUGCAUUGAGAAAGUUAGCAAGGAGUUUAAGACGCAGUGAUUCACUGGCAAGAUAUGCUGUGAAUCGGUUACAAUAUUGGUCUGGUGGACGUAUCAGCGCUAGCAAAAUUAUUCAAGUCAUAGAUGGUGUAGCAGCUAGACUGAAUCGGUAUCAAACUGCAACCUGUGGAUUUUUCGCAGAUGUAGGAGUCUCCCUUGGUAUUAAUCGUAGUAUUGCAUAUCAAAUCUGCAACGUUGCUAUCGAUUUACUCGGAUUAAUUCUGUAAAAGCCCAUUAUAGAAAUGAAUAACCAAGCAUCCUGAC